RNAcentral lists this ribosomal RNA (378 nucleotides) under uncultured bacterium. RNAcentral's name for it is "bacterial SSU rRNA". It matches the Rfam family "Bacterial small subunit ribosomal RNA", at positions 28 to 408 of the family's 1533-position model. The record is from RNAcentral.
GACGAACGCUGGCGGCGUGCUUAACACAUGCAAGUCGAGCGGUAAGGCCCUUUCGGGGGUACACGAGCGGCGAACGGGUGAGUAACACGUGGGUGACCUGCCCUCAGCUCUGGGAUAAGCCUGGGAAACUGGGUCUAAUACUGGAUAUGACUCCACGGUGCAUGUCGUGGGGUGGAAAGCCUUGUGCGGCUGAGGAUGGGCCCGCGGCCUAUCAGCUUGUUGGGGGGUGAUGGCCUACCAAGGCGACGACGGGUAGCCGGCCUGAGAGGGCGACCGGCCACACUGGGACUGAGACACGGCCCAGGACUCCUACGGGAGGCAGCAGUGGGAAUCUUGCGCAAUGGGCGAAAGCCUGACGCAGCGACGCCGCGUGAGGGA